AGCAGCCGCGGUAAUUCCAGCUCCAAUAGCGUAUAUUAAAGUUGUUGCAGUUAAAAAGCUCGUAGUUGAAUUUCGGGAUCAAAUUGUCGGUCGUGCCUCGGUACGUACUGGCGUUAUUGGUUCCUCCCUUCUGAAGAACCGCGAUGUCAUUAAUUUGGUGUCGCGGGGAAUCAGGACUGUUACUUUGAAAAAAUUAGAGUGUUUAAAGCAGGCUCGCGCUUGAAUACAUUAGCAUGGAAUAAUGAAAUAGGACGUUUGAUUCUAUUUUGUUGGUUUUCUAGGAUCGACGUAAUGAUUAAUAGGGAUAGUUGGGGGGCAUUAGUAUUCAAUUGUCAGAGGUGAAAUUCUUGGAUUUAUUGAAGACUAACUACUGCGAAAGCAUUUGCCAGGAUGUUUUCAUUAAUCAAGAACGAAAGUUAGGGAUCGAAGACGAUCAGAUACCGUCGUAGUCUUAACCAUAAACUAUACCGACUAGGGAUCGGGAUGAUGUUUAAUUUUUAAUGUACUCUAUUCGGGCGUC
This 520-nucleotide ribosomal RNA is filed under the name uncultured Glomus. RNAcentral's name for it is "SSU rRNA". It matches the Rfam family "Eukaryotic small subunit ribosomal RNA", at positions 569 to 1087 of the family's 1831-position model. The record is from RNAcentral. Lineage: Eukaryota; Fungi; Glomeromycota; Glomeromycetes; Glomerales; Glomeraceae.